AUUCCUACGGGAGGCAGCAGUAGGGAAUCUUCCGCAAUGGACGAAAGUCUGACGGAGCAACGCCGCGUGAGUGAAGAAGGUUUUCGGAUCGUAAAACUCUGUUGUGAGGGAAGAACAAGUACCAACUAACUACUGGUACCUUGACGGUACCUCACCAGAAAGCCACGGCUAACUACGUGCCAGCAGCCGCGGUAAUACGUAGGUGGCAAGCGCUGUCCGGAAUUAUUGGGCGUAAAGCGCGCGCAGGCGGUCCUUUAAGUCUGAUGUGAAAGCCCACGGCUCAACCGUGGAGGGUCAUUGGAAACUGGGGGACUUGAGUGCAGAAGAGGAAAGUGGAAUUCCAGGUGUAGCGGUGAAAUGCGUAGAGAUGUGGAGGAACACCAGUGGCGAAGGCGACUUUCUGGUCUGUAACUGACGCUGAGGCGCGAAAGCGUGGGGAGCAAACAGGAUUAGAUACCCUGGUAGUCCACGCCGUAAACGAUGAGUGCUAAGUGUUAGGGGGUUUCCGCCCCUUAGUGCUGCAGCUAACGCAUUAAGCACUCCGCCUGGGGAGUACGGCCGCAAGACUGAAACUCAAAGGAAUUGACGAAU
RNAcentral lists this ribosomal RNA (591 nucleotides) under uncultured bacterium. Its description in RNAcentral is "bacterial SSU rRNA". It matches the Rfam family "Bacterial small subunit ribosomal RNA", at positions 335 to 918 of the family's 1533-position model. The record is from RNAcentral.